AGCGAACGCUGGCGGCAGGCCUAACACAUGCAAGUCGAACGAACUCUUCGGAGUUAGUGGCGGACGGGUGAGUAACACGUGGGAACGUUCCUUUUGGUUCGGAAUAACUCAGGGAAACUUGUGCUAAUACCGAAUGUGCCCUUCGGGGGAAAGAUUUAUCGCCAUUAGAGCGGCCCGCGUCUGAUUAGCUAGUUGGUGAGGUAACGGCUCACCAAGGCGACGAUCAGUAGCUGGUCUGAGAGGAUGACCAGCCACACUGGGACUGAGACACGGCCCAGACUCCUACGGGAGGCAGCAGUGGGGAAUCUUGCGAAAUGGGCGAAAGCCUGACGCAGCCAUGCCGCGUGAAUGAUGAAGGUCUUAGGAUUGUAAAAUUCUUUAACCGGGGACGAUAAUGACGGUACCCGGAGAAGAAGCCCCGGCUAACUUCGUG
RNAcentral lists this ribosomal RNA (433 nucleotides) under uncultured bacterium. Its description in RNAcentral is "partial 16S ribosomal RNA". It matches the Rfam family "Bacterial small subunit ribosomal RNA", at positions 29 to 507 of the family's 1533-position model. The record is from RNAcentral.